This 254-nucleotide ribosomal RNA is filed under the name uncultured bacterium. RNAcentral's name for it is "partial 16S ribosomal RNA". It matches the Rfam family "Bacterial small subunit ribosomal RNA", at positions 524 to 776 of the family's 1533-position model. The record is from RNAcentral.
UACGGGGGGAGCAAGCGUUGUUCGGAUUUACUGGGCGUAAAGGGCGCGUAGGCGGUCGUGACAAGUCACUUGUGAAAUCUCCGGGCUUAACUCGGAACGGUCAAGUGAUACUGUCGGACUAGAGUACAGAAGGGGCAACUGGAAUUCUCGGUGUAGAGGUGAAAUUCGUAGAUAUUGGGAAGAACACCGGUGGCGAAGGCGGCGACCUGGUCCUUGACUGACGCUGAGGCGCGAAAGCGUGGGGAGCAAACAGG